GACGAACGCUGGCGGCGUGCUUAACACAUGCAAGUCGAACGGAAAGGCCUCUUUCGGGGGGUACUCGAGUGGCGAACGGGUGAGUAACACGUGAGUAACCUGCCCUUGACUUUGGGAUAACUUCAGGAAACUGGGGCUAAUACCGGAUAGGAGCUCCUGCUGCAUGGUGGGGGUUGGAAAGUUUCGGCGGUUGGGGAUGGACUCGCGGCUUAUCAGCUUGUUGGUGGGGUAGUGGCUUACCAAGGCUUUGACGGGUAGCCGGCCUGAGAGGGUGACCGGCCACAUUGGGACUGAGAUACGGCCCAGACUCCUACGGGAGGCAGCAGUGGGGAAUAUUGCAAAAUGGGUGGAAGCCUGAUGCAGCAACGCCGGGUGCGGGAGGACGGCCUUCGGGUUGUAAACCGCUUUCGCUCAUGACGAAGCUUUGUGUGACGGUAGUGGGUAAAGAAGCACCGGCUAACUACGUG
This 467-nucleotide ribosomal RNA is filed under the name uncultured bacterium. RNAcentral describes it as "partial 16S ribosomal RNA". It matches the Rfam family "Bacterial small subunit ribosomal RNA", at positions 28 to 507 of the family's 1533-position model. The record is from RNAcentral.